GGGCUCGUAGCUCAGUGGAUAGAGCGUUUGCCUCCGGAGCAAAAGGUCGAGGGUUCGACCCCCUUCGAGCCCAC
This 74-nucleotide transfer RNA is filed under the name Galliscardovia ingluviei. Its description in RNAcentral is "tRNA-Arg". It matches the Rfam family "tRNA". From Rfam's summary of the family: Transfer RNA (tRNA) molecules are approximately 80 nucleotides in length. Their secondary structure includes four short double-helical elements and three loops (D, anti-codon, and T loops). Lineage: Bacteria; Bacillati; Actinomycetota; Actinomycetes; Bifidobacteriales; Bifidobacteriaceae. The record is from RNAcentral.